RNAcentral lists this ribosomal RNA (331 nucleotides) under Oria musculosa. RNAcentral's name for it is "partial 16S large subunit ribosomal RNA". The record is from RNAcentral. Lineage: Eukaryota; Metazoa; Arthropoda; Insecta; Lepidoptera; Noctuidae.
UUAAUUAAGUAUAGAAUUUAAUUUUUUAAUUAAAAAGUUAAAAUAAAUUAAAAAGACGAGAAGACCCUAUAGAGUUUUAUAAUUUAUUUAAUUAAGAUUAUUUAGAAAAAAAUUAAAUUAAAAUUAAAUUUAUUAUUUUGUUGGGGUGACAGAAAAAUAUAUUUAACUUUUUUUAAAAUAAAAACAUUUAUAAAUGAUUAUAUGAUCCAAUAUUAUUGAUUAUAAGAAAAAAUUACCUUAGGGAUAACAGCGUAAUUUUUUUUUUUAGUUCAAAUAAGAAAAAAAGUUUGCGACCUCGAUGUUGGAUUAAGAUAAAAUUUAAAUGCAGAAG